RNAcentral lists this ribosomal RNA (472 nucleotides) under uncultured bacterium. RNAcentral's name for it is "bacterial SSU rRNA". It matches the Rfam family "Bacterial small subunit ribosomal RNA", at positions 28 to 507 of the family's 1533-position model. RNAcentral also lists the same sequence under 2 other names. The record is from RNAcentral.
GACGAACGCUGGCGGCGUGCCUAAUGCAUGCAAGUCGAGCGGGCUACGAUCUUCGGAUUGUAGCUUAGCGGCGAACGGGUGAGUAACACGUAGGUAAUCUACCCUUCAGAGGAGGACAACCUCAGGAAACUGAGGCUAAACCUUCAUACGUUCACUGGUAGGGAUACUGGUGAAGAAAGAGUUACCUUAGUGGUAGCUGCUGAAGGAUGAGCCUGCGGCCCAUCAGGUAGUUGGUGAGGUAACGGCUCACCAAGCCGAAGACGGGUAACCGGUCUGAGAGGAUGUCCGGUCACACUGGGACUGAGACACGGCCCAGACUCCUACGGGAGGCAGCAGCAGGGAAUCUUGGGCAAUGGGCGAAAGCCUGACCCAGCGACGCCGCGUGGAGGAAGAAGUCCUUCGGGGCGUAAACUCCUGGACUGGGGGACGAGGAAGGACGGUACCCCAGUAGAAAGGGACGGCUAACUACGUG